AAGCAACCCACCUUGGAGGCCUAUAAAAGGGAGCCCCCACCCCUCAUUCAGCACACACCAUUUGGAGAGGAGAAGUGUCCAAGCAAGAUGUAGUCCCAGUUAGUAGAAUAUGGAGAGUGUGAGGUGAGAGUCUUGGCGAAAGCCAAAGUAAAGGAGCGGUACCGAGUUCUCUCGGUCUUACUCCAUUUUGUAAGCCACCUCGGAGGAAUGGAAUAUCUUCGGAGUGAAGUUCCUCGUCUCUCGUCGUUAUCUCUCUAGUCUUUCUCUUUACUUCAGUUACUUGUUUACUUUCUGUCAUUGAUUAGCGGGAUCCCUAGUCUGUGUAAGUAGCAAGUUCUACUUAUUUGAGAGUGCUUUCUGUCUUGCCGGGAGUAGGAGUACGUAACUCAAUUGUGUUAGGCGUGGUGCCUAGACUUGGUUAGUUACAUAGGAUGGUGUUCCACCCCACGGAACCGUUGUGGUAGGCGGCAGGUGGUGACAGCCCUGUCCGUCCCUCGUAGUCCACCACAUUCGGGUGUUUUCAUAGCAGUAGUUGCAGGUUGCCGUUGGACUCCCCUCUCACCCCUUUCUGAAGUCCUUCCUCUUCCAGCCGCCCAAGCAGAUCAACAUAGUUUAGUUGCAAGUCCUUUGGGUAAUGAGUUGGCUAACCGAUGUUAGACCCUCUACCCACUUACCUCUCUUCCCCUAGUGGGUCCGGUUGAACUAGUUCUAGGUUUGGUCGAAGCUUUACCGUUCCUUGGAUUCGAUAUCCCAGGUAUACUCCCUGGUGAAAGAUACAAUCGGUCUCUGUGCGCUUGCGGAGUAAUUCGUUUAGGCUAAAGAGUGCCAACAAGCUUUCUGUUACCGUUGCCGGGGAAUGGUAGCAAGACUAUUCUAGAAUUCGUUCAGCUGUACACCUUUCCGCCCAUCCACAUGGAGUUCUACUCCUAGUUAUCCGGCAAUUCCAUCCCGCGAGUAUUUGGAACGGCCACCAUCUUACCAUCCCCCCCCUUAUCUGAUGGUUACAAGAUCAAUCCCAAUCUCAUAAAUCAUGGUUCGCGCAAAGUCCUUCUCUAUGAGAAAGGACAAGAAUCCCUGCUGGAAUUCAACUAUACCCGGUUCGAACCAAAACACCUUACGGUGAAGCUCUCCCCAUUCUCUCUAACGGGCGAAGCGAAAAUUUGGUACGACCAGACGGCGGGGAGAGUUGUAGGAGAUUGGAUCAAGUUGAAGGAUGAAUUUUGCUCCCCUGCUACCAAAGUGUUCGCACUUGGAACAGAGUGGGAAAGAUCUUUGCUAAUGGCAAAAUCCGGGAUACCUCAUCAAAUUCCGGAAGAUGUUGAAGCAACAUUUUGUUAGUUUUUUCUUCCACCCAAACCAACUGAUCACCCUAUCAGCUGCAUCCUCUCACCUCCACCACGUAUUGUGGAAAUUACCGAACCACUCAAGUCCAUAGAUUAUGAGCCACUCAUUGAUGAUAUGCCAAUGCUCAUCAUGACCUCGGUCAUGUUUCAAACAUGCCGAAGGAGUAUAAGUGCAUAUGCUCAAGAUCUGAGGCAUUCAUUCCAAAUGCUACGUCAUAGAUUGAGGGUCUUACUGUGAUCACUAGCAAGGAAUGGUAGAGGAGCGGAAUUCAAUUCUUGAAAACUCCUUUGCACUAUUGGGGAUGCUGCAGCACAAGAGAACUUCUACGAUCCGAAGGAAAUCGUGUCCUUCUCCCGUAAGCACCCGAAGUGGAUCGAUGGCCAGAUGAUGGAGAGUAAGGAGAUUUUUCCAUGUUAUGUCCUUAAAGAUGGGGCAUAACAAGAUCUUUCUGGAUCUCCACAUCUUCGAUAUCCCUGAAGGUGAAAAGUUCUCUUGAUCAGUCAGCCAAUAGAGCUACUUGUCAGCCCUAAUGGAUACCAAGAUACUCUUCAUAGCUCGAGGUUGACAAAGAUAAGAUCCUGGUUAGUCUAGUCCAUUCAGGUAAUACAAAAGACUAGACCGGAGCAAGAUCGAGUGGAGAAGGCAGUUUAUCUCUGAAGAAGAUGCCAUUCACUUCACCUAGGAAACAGAUCCGGGCGGCCACCUCAAGUUCAACGAAGAAGAAAAACCGCAACAUCUUCUUCCUGAGCUGAAACCACUGCCUCCUAGGCUGAAGUUUGCCUUUCUCCAACAACAACAGUAGCAUGCUAGUCUUCAUCAGCGACAAGCUGACAGAGAGUGAGACUUGGCUGCUCGUUGCAGUCCUAGAGAAGUACCGGUCCGUCAUCGGGUAUUCUCUCCAUGACUAGAAAGGGGAUCAGCCCCGACUUGUGCACCCAUCGCAUUUUUAUGAAACGGGAUCAUAAGUCAUCUCGAGAGCACCAGUGAUGGCUGAACAAUGAGAUGAGGAAGGUAGUGAACCAAGAGGUGUUGAUACUACUGCACGCAGGCGUCAUCAACCACGUGUAAGAUAGUGUUUUGGUCAGCCUAGUUCAAGUGGUCACAAAGAAGGGAGCAAUCACCUCUGAGAGUAGAGCACUCAUAUCCCAGAGGAAAGUCAUCAAGUACGUGUAUCGAUAGUCAACAAGACUAUCUGUAAUGACCACUAUCCUCUCCCUUUCUUUGACAAGAUGCUUGAAUGGCUGGCUAAGCACUCAUUCUUCCAAUACCUUGACGGAUAUUCUGGUCAUCACCAAAUUGGUAUGACCAAGUAAGACUACCUUCACCUGUCCCUAUGGCACAUUCGCCUACUGGUGAAUGUCGUUGGUCUUUGCAAUGCACUUGCUUUACUUCAGAGGUGUAAGAUGGCGACUUUCUCUGACCAAAUCGAGAGCAUCAUGAAGGGUUUCAUGGAUGAUUUCUCAGUCCCUAGCAAAGAUUACCUUGAGAAUUCAGACAAAGUUCUUAAGAAUUGCCAAGAAACACACUUUAACCUUAAUUGGGAGAAGUAUCACUUUAUGGUCCGAGCAAAAAUUGUCCUCGGACAUUGAGUGCCAUGAGGCACUCGUUUCUUCACCCAUCAUGCAUCCUCCCGAUUGGAAAUUUCCUUUCGAGACCACGUGCGAUGCAAAUGACUACGCCGUCAGUGCAGUGUUGGGUCAAUGCAAGGAUAAUCAGCAUUAUGCCAAAUCUUAGGCAAGUAAGACAUUGACCGGAGCACGGUUAUGCAACAACGGAGAAGGAACUUCUGGUGUUGGUAUUUGCAUUAAGUUCAGCUCCUACUUGGUUGGUGCUAAGGUGAUAGCAUACACGGAUCAUGCUACACUAAAGCACAUGUGAUCAAGAAGGAAGACAAGCCACGACUCAUCUGUUGGAUUCUGCUCCUACAAGAAUUUGAUUUGGAAAUCAGAGAUAAGGUAGGAGUAGAAAAUUGUGUGGCUGCUCAUCUCUCAAGGAUUUGAGUAACCGAUUGACUUCUUGAGAGAUGAUACUCUUCUGGAGAUCACUAUAUCUAGUCCAAGGUAUGAGAACUAAGUGAAUUUUAUGGAGACUGGAUAUAUAUAUCUCUAGAUGAAGACAAGAAGAAGUUAUAUUCACCUCAGAAAAUACCACCCUUGGGAGAACCCCUAUCUAUUGAAGUCCGUGCUAUUGGUUUACUCCAACCGCUGCAUCCCGCUAUGUGAGACCCGCAAGAUUCUCGACUGUGCUACUCCUUACCAUAAGGAUGACACUACAGAGUAUUCCGUAUCCAUGCUUAGGUUUGGCAGAAUCCAUAAUUCUAGCCAACCAAGUUUUAAGACGCUAAAGAAUCUGUGCGGUGCCCAAGAUGUUAGAUGCUACACCACUGAAGAGCAACCUUCAGUUGGAAGUAAUCGACAUAUGGGGAGUUCACUUUGUGAGUCUUUCCCUAUGUCAGAGCAAAUGCAUCUUGGAGGCCAAGGACUAUUUGUCCAAAUGGAUGAAGCACUUCCUGUGUUGCGGCCGACUCGAAGAAUUCAAAGAAGAUGAUUCAGGAAAUCACAUUUCCUUGUUUUAAAUUUCAAAGAAUCAUGUUUUGUGGUGAAGGCUCACACUUCACAAGACAAGACCUACAGGAAGUGUCUCAGCGAGUUGAGAGUAAAACCACCGGGCUACUACUCCAUACCAUCCCUAGACCAAUGGCCAAGCAGAAAUAUCUAACAAGACGAUCAGAAACAUUCUGCAGAAGAUAGCUAAUGCCAUGGGGAAAGGAUGGAAUGGCAUGAUACCCGAGGCACUCUGGACCUAUUGAACAUCCUUCAAGACGCUGAUUGGACAAAUACUGCACCAGCUGAUCUAUGGCAAAACUUGUCAUACACCAGUUGACCAUGAGUUCAAAUCCCACGGGGCAAUUAAGAGGUGAAAAAUGGAUCUUCAAUCAGUCGUGGUUAAAAGUCAAAUCCAAUGGGCUGAAUUGGAUGAAUGGAGGAAGUAGGCUUACCACAGCUCCAAGCUCUACAAGGAGCGGAUGAAAAGAUGACACGAUAAGCGGAUCAAGAUCAAGCAUUUCGAAAUGGGAAAAUAAGGUACUACUCUUUAAUUCCCACCUUCGUCUGAUUGGUCGUGACAAGCUUAGAAGUAAGUGGAAAGAGCCUUAUCUAAUUAACCCUCCAGGACGAUGACGGGAAUGUUGUAAAUAUUCCUCGAGCCCGAACUACUAGAACUCAAAGGGAUAAACGACUAUGAGUUAUUCGAGCUAGAGCCCUCGUUUAUGGUCAUCGCCAGACCUUAAACAUACCUUACCCUAGUCUAGGAUAAUGGGCGCCAGUUUAUUUCUCAAGUUUUGUUUCAGAAGCGCCCAGUUAUUUUUGAAAAAAAAACUAAAAUAAAAUGAAAUAAAUGCCUCAUGCUUGUGCUUUAGUUGGUUGGUGCACAUUUGUGUGCCAACCGACCCCCCCUAUUCUAAUAUUUUCAUCAAGUGCGCAGAUGAACAUCAUGAACAACACUGAGACGGACUCUUUGGCGAAGUUGAGCAAAAUUUGAUGCAACUCAAGAUCCGGUAGCUAGGUUAGACCCGUGCCUAACCAAAACAUCGACAUAACAACUCAUCAAGGAGGUUUGCAACCCCAUCCUUCUUUUCAUUCCUGAUUUCAUUCAAAUUAGUUCUAAAUGAAAUAAAAUUAAAUUUUGAAUGAAACUCUUGGAAGAGAACUCAUGACUUCUAAAGGUGGCUAAGCUUUAUUUCUUAUGCGAGUACUCGUUACCUUUGGAACUUAUUACAUGAUAGGAUCACUUGAACUUUUGUUUAUUGACCCUCAUGAUAUAAUGAAAUGAGAGACAUAUUCUUUCUAAUUCAUAGUCUUGGAGUGUUUCUUUAAAAGCUAAAAAAAGGCAACUCUCAUUCACUUUCAACCAUACAAAGUCCUAUCCAGAGCCAUACAUGAAUAGAAUUGAACCCACAUGGCUAUCUUUUGACAUUUAGAGCUUGAUCAAACAUCAUUGCCUUUCGAGAAAUGUCAUGAUCAUCAAGUACUUUGGUCAUCCACUGUGCAUGUUCAUUAAUAAAGUCCAACAAAAGUGAUUCACCAAAAGCUCUCCAUCCCCCUGAAAAAAAGAGUGAGCAACAAUCUUACUCGAGCAAAAAAAAAAGGGACAUAGGGGAAAGAUGGAGAAGCCAAAGUCAAACACCACUCAAAGGGACAUUCAUCCCUCACAUACACAUGCACAUGACCAAGUUCUAAAAUAUGACAUGAUCUCUUAAAGACAAGAUCUUUGAUCUUGCAAAAUAAAUGAGGAAGAUAUGCAAGUUUAUCCCUACCUUGAGCCACACAAAAGCCUAUUUAAACAUAGGAGAGGUUUUCUCUAAAGACCUUAGUGAGAUUCAAACACAAAAUGAGAGACUAAGAGUGAGUUGAACGAGAUGAGAGCAUGCCUCCUGUUUUGAAAAUCUUGCAAAACCUCCAAGUACAGAGAAAAGGAAGUGAAUCAUGUUCUCCAUCGAGUUGUUCUGGGGAUCAAUAUUCGAAGGUGAAGGUGUUAGCCACCCGGAAUCCAAGGUAUGAGGAAAGUUUAGAAAUAAAUCUUAUGCAUUCUUUGAUUUCAUGAAACCAGGCUUCGCUUUUCUUUGACCUUAUUGCUCGGGGCAAGCAAAGUCUGGCUGUGGGGGUGUGUUGGCGGUCGAUAUCGGUGAUUUUCGCCGCCAACGCUCUGCCUGAUUUCUUAAAACAAAGGUCAUGUACAUGCCAAAUUAACUUAUAUUAACAAGUUCCAUAAGUUUUGGUGAGUAUUUGAAUGCAGGAACAACAUGUAUGAAAUUUGGCUAAAAUGGGAGAAAACCCAGGCCGGCCAACCUAUCCACCUUGGCAAUUCAGUCUCAUAUUUGGUCAGAGUGCUCAUGAGUGCAAAUACAAGCCAAUCCAACUUGGUUUUAUACAAAAUGCAUAAACCAAUACUGAAAGGUUUGAACCAUGACAAGUUGGGUCCACCUGCAGUGACCAAACUCAGAACCAAGUCCUAAACCGACUUGAGGAGAAAAAUAUAAGCGUUGAUUGACACGUCGGUGGAACGGAGGGCAGAGGGGGGACAACCCCAGGCCGGCCGGCCUCUAACUGCAUCGCUUCGGACCAACGCAAAUACAACUGACAUCUACGGGUGAUCCAGGACAUCCAGCAGAAAGGCGGUGGAAAACAGACGACACCCCAGGCCGGCCAGGCUGACCUUAUUGCGCCAUGUGUGCAGCCUUCAAGAGGAAGUUACAACCGCCAUGUGUGCAGCCCUCAAUUGGAAGUUACAACCGCCAUGCAUGCGUGGACAGCUUUGCUUCCAAGUCAAGCCAACCAUAGCUUAGCUUACAAGCUAAGCAACCUUAGCCUUGCUUACAAGCUAAGCAACCCACCUUGGAGGCCUAUAAAAGGGAGCCCCCACCCCUCAUUCAGCACACACCAUUUGGAGAGGAGAAGAGUCCAAGCAAGAUGUGAGUCCCACUUAGUAGAAUAGGGAGAGUAUGAGGUGAGAGUCUUGGUGAAAGCCAAAGUAAAGGAGCGGUGCCGAGUUCUUUCGGCCAUACUCCAUUUUGUAAGCCACCUCGGAGGAAUGGAAUAUCUUCGGAGUGAAGUUCCUCGUCUCUCGUCGGGGGAUGGAGAGCUUCCGAUGAACCACUUUUGAUGGACUUUAUUGAUGAAUGUGCGUGGUGGAUGACCAAAGUACUAGAUGAUCAUGACAUUUCUCGAAAGGCAACGAUGUUUGAUCAAGCUCAAAAUAUAAAAAGAUAGCUAUGUGGGCUCAACUCUACUCAUAUAUGGCUCUGGAUAGGACUUUUGUAAAGUUGAAAGAGCAUGAGAAUUGCCUCAUUUUAGCCUUUUAAAAACAACUCUCCAAGACUUUGAAUUAGAAAGAACAUGUCUUGCAUUUCAUUAUAUCAUGAGGGUCAAUAGACAAGCUUCAGGUGAUCCUAUUAUGUAAGUUCCAAAGGUAACAAGUACUUGCAUAAGAAAUAAAACUUAGACACCCUUGAGAAUCA
Long non-coding RNA from Panicum virgatum (switchgrass), 7360 nucleotides. RefSeq lists it as uncharacterized. The transcript is spliced from 2 exons. NCBI's taxonomy places the organism in Eukaryota, Viridiplantae, Streptophyta, Magnoliopsida, Poales, Poaceae. The record is from RefSeq and is a predicted model, not a curated record.